This 432-nucleotide ribosomal RNA is filed under the name uncultured bacterium. Its description in RNAcentral is "partial 16S ribosomal RNA". It matches the Rfam family "Bacterial small subunit ribosomal RNA", at positions 28 to 507 of the family's 1533-position model. The record is from RNAcentral.
GAUGAACGCUGGCGGUAUGCUUAACACAUGCAAGUCGAACGGUACCUUCGGGUAUAGUGGCGGACGGGUGAGUAACGCGUGAGAAUCUAUCUUCAGGUCGGGGACAACAGUUAGAAAUGACUGCUAAUACCGGAUGUGCCGAAAGGUAAAAGAUUUAUUGCCUGAAAAAGAGCUCGCGUCAGAUUAGCUAGUAGGUGGUGUAAGAGACUACCUAGGCUUCGAUCUGUAGCUGGUCUGAGAGGACGAUCAGCCACACUGGAACUGAGACACGGUCCAGACUCCUACGGGAGGCAGCAGUGGGGAAUUUUCCGCAAUGGGCGAAAGCCUGACGGAGCAAUACCGCGUGAGGGACGAAGGCUCUUGGGUCGUAAACCUCUUCUCUCAAGGAAGAUUCAGACGGUACUUGAGGAAUAAGCAUCGGCUAACUCUGUG